GGAUAAUCUCUCCAUUAUUAAAUGAAAUCUUAGCUCUAUUCCAAGAUAUGACCUAGUAAUUUCAUUUAUUGCAUAAAGAGUUAAAGAUACAUUGGUUAUUUUGCCCAAUGUUGUCAUAUUCUGGGAAAAAAAUGUCAACUGCCUUGUACAAAAGCUUUUAUAAAAUGCGCUGAGCUGUUUGAGAAAGUUCAAAAUCAUUCUGGGAUCCUGGUAUUUACCAAAACAAGAGGCUAUAAAAGUCAGAACUGGAUUCAUCUGUAAUUUUUAGUCAUUUCUAUAGCUCAGUUUAUU
This 291-nucleotide unclassified non-coding RNA is filed under the name Hevea brasiliensis (rubber tree). The record is from RNAcentral. Lineage: Eukaryota; Viridiplantae; Streptophyta; Magnoliopsida; Malpighiales; Euphorbiaceae.